CUUGACACGUAUAUGCUGACUUGCUUUCAUGAGAUGUAUAUAUACAGAGAGAGAGAGACAUGUGAGUGCAGGACUCCACCGUCCCCACCGCUUCACCGCCCUACAACGGCGAUGAGUGAACUCCGCGACCACUGAACUUCACCGCCCUACCAGCUGAAGACGGUGAUGAUUGGAAUACUCGGUUCUGCGACCAGACUCCUCCCUUGCCACCUCCUACUUAUCUCUGCCCUACCAGCCGAGGUUGAACCAGUGGUAAAAAAAAUGAGGUGGAGGAGGAUAUAGUGGUUGCUCAUAAAAUCAAGGCAGUUUCCAUUCUCAUGUCUUUCUGAGGCUGGCCGGAGAGUCGAAGUAUUAAAGAGAGAGGGCUACUACUGGACAAAUUAAUUAGACUACGCACUGCCAAAAACAACCACCCAAGUCUGUAUUUUACGGAUAAUGAAAGGUGACAAAUUUGUUUUUUGGUUCGACAAAAUGGAUGGUGUAGACAUCGAUGUUACCCAUAACGCUUCACCAUUUGCGCUCAUAAACGAUUAUGUUUUUAGAUAAACGAUAGAAGAUUUUCAUUUAAUGAAUACAGAUAAAGAGAAAGGCGUCAAUCAUAGGCAAGGAAAGGUUGAUGCACGUCUCAACAACACCAGCCAACCUCUAAACAACACAGUGUCUUGGCAAUCCCUCCUACAACGCCUAACCCCAAGAUUUACCAGACAAAACGUUCGCCAGUUCGGUCACCAGAUACAGGCUUGGGUAGACACUAUUGGUUCUGACGAGUAGGUGAGUGUUUUACACAUAAUCCGGUCACCACAGAACUCCGAGCCGUCGAGUAAGGUAAAUCUGACCAUUUCAAGUUUGAGUUUGUUUACAGAAGAUUCAGUGAAAUGAUAUUUGUACAAUAUAAGUGGUAUAGUGGUUUAGAUAAACCCUUGAGCUGCUUUUCUGAUACACUGUGGUGAGUCAUAGGCUUUUAAAUCUACACGUGUCUUGCACUCUUCUAAACUGAUGCUUAGCCUCAUUUUGAAAUGAGAGAGAGAUAGAGGUGUUGGUAAGGGUACGGAGGAACUGCGAUAGCCGGCCACCGUCGGAAGUGUUCCGGCACAACGGCGAAGAUCUUUCUGGUGCUUUCAAAAUGGAAUGCGGAUAGAACGAUGGUAACAACGGCUUUUGCUAACGAAGGACUGUGGGAACUUUUUCAACAGCAGAGGUUUGAACUUUGGUUACUCCGACGACGUCGGCAAGACAGAGUCAAACUACAUUGGUUCCUAGGCGCCUAUGAUCGGCUCUGCUCAGUACCUCUGCUAAAACGCCUCGAGAUGUGUUCAUCAGAAUCCCAAAUCAUCCCAAGUUUUAUCAACAAACAAGUUUAGGAAUCACAUGAAGAACAUCAAGACUGAAAAGCCGGCCAAUGAGUCGUUGACUACCAUGUUGAAUCGUGUAAUAGAUAGAUUUAAACAGAAAAAAACGAUCAUCGCUACACCACAGGGGCUAUUGAUGUUCUUGGGAAACUAUGGCUUGACCUGAACUUUGGAGCCCGGCCCGUAAAAAAGAAUGAUUCAACAGCUGGUUGAGAAUGAUAUUUCAUUGUGGAUACUACAAAGAGAUUUCAGUCGAGAUGAUAGUAUUAUUAUUGACAUGUCAGCGGCGGUCAAGAAUGGUAUUCAUAUAGGAAAUUGGAGAGGGGAGAGGACAUGGUUGCAAAUAAUUGAAUAAAGGACGUGUGAGCUGUUAAUAGAUGAUUUUAAUAUUAAUAGUUAUGUUCAGGUGUAGCAUUGAACACUGUUUUUCUUAUGGAACUAUAUAGUUACUGACUGCGUAACACUCUAUUUCCAUGCGCAAGGAGUGAUGUAUUUUUAGUUUUGAUUUGGUGUGUUAGGCAGGUCUGUUUAUUACAAAGUGUACCAAAACUUGUCUUUGGCUUACAGUGAGGUUUUAGCAAAACAUGCCGGAUAACUAAGGACAACCGAAGAAGACGACUUCUCAAAACAAUUAAUCGGAAUCGAAAUCCUUAAGUUGUUACGCCGCCGCAACGCGCGGCGGGUAAAAACUCUAGUUACCUUACCAAAUUCAAUCUGUUUUGUACGCAUGUAUGGUUGUAAAUUGUGCUUAACUGGUUGUGCCCUAAUCAAAUAAUGGUUUCAUUAUCUUACCAUGUUCAAUCAGUUUGAUCCAUUCAAAUUUGUGUUGUUUUAUUUUUAAAUUAUUAUUAUUUAUAAUAAU
Helianthus annuus (common sunflower) is the source of this 2211-nucleotide long non-coding RNA. RefSeq lists it as uncharacterized. The record is from RefSeq and is a predicted model, not a curated record. Lineage: Eukaryota; Viridiplantae; Streptophyta; Magnoliopsida; Asterales; Asteraceae. The transcript has 8 exons.